UCUUUUCUUUUGAUAGGAGAGUUUUUAAAACCAGUGUUAUUUUUGUAAGUUUAAGAGAAGUUUGUGUAUUGAAUUUUUAAUAUUAAAGAGCUUUGUUAAACUUAGACUUAAGUUUAGGUCAUUUUGGGGGUUUAGCUCAGUUGGCUAGAGCAUCGGCUUUGUAAGCCGAGGGUCAAGGGUUCGAGUCCCUUAACCUCCAUUGGGCUUAUGUCCUAAAUUGUAAUUAAGUAUGUUUUUAAGCAACUUUAUUAAAGUAAUUGUUGGAAUGUGAAACAGAGGAAGUUAAAAUUUCUGGGUUAAGUUGAGAUCUGUUGAUAUUAAGAAGAAUCUCUAGAAGCAAAAGCAAGCUUUCGAUAAAACCCGAAGUUGUUUCGCUAAAGUGCAAGGAUUAAACAGGAUUGUAUUUUCCAGUAGCCUAUUUUAUAAACGAUCUGCAUUUAGUAAAUAGUUUUUAGUUAGGAAAUAAUGUAUAUUGCUAAGUGUGAUGUC
RNAcentral lists this unclassified non-coding RNA (489 nucleotides) under Borreliella burgdorferi (Lyme disease spirochete). Its description in RNAcentral is "partial 16S-23S ribosomal RNA intergenic spacer". The stretch from base 126 to 199 matches the Rfam family "tRNA". The record is from RNAcentral. Lineage: Bacteria; Pseudomonadati; Spirochaetota; Spirochaetia; Spirochaetales; Borreliaceae.